UUUCUCCUCCGGGGCGCAGCAGUGGGGAAUAUUGCACAAUGGGGGAAACCCUCCUCCCUCCCCUCCUCUUUCUUUCCUCCUUCUUUCGGUAUUUAAAUCUCCAUCAGCAUUUAAGAGAAUUACGGUACCUGACUAAGAAGCCCCGGCUAACUACUUGCCAUCAUCCGCGGUAAUACGUAGGGUGCGAUCGUUAUCCGGAUUUACUUUUUUUAAAGGGAUCUUAGACUUCGUCUCAAGUCCGGAGUGAAAGCCCACGGCCCAACCGUGGGACUGCUCUGGAAACUGUGCGGCUUGAGUGCGGGAGG
Molecule: ribosomal RNA, 305 nt
Filed under: uncultured bacterium
Lineage: Bacteria
Description: bacterial SSU rRNA
Rfam family: Bacterial small subunit ribosomal RNA
Source: RNAcentral